RNAcentral lists this ribosomal RNA (773 nucleotides) under uncultured Neocallimastigales. RNAcentral describes it as "partial large subunit ribosomal RNA". It matches the Rfam family "Eukaryotic large subunit ribosomal RNA", at positions 26 to 613 of the family's 3401-position model. The record is from RNAcentral. Lineage: Eukaryota; Fungi; Neocallimastigomycota; Neocallimastigomycetes; Neocallimastigales.
CGCAUCUGUGCAUGCAGCAUAUCAAUAAGCGGAGGAAAAGAAACUAACAAGGAUUCCCCUAGUAACGGCGAGUGAAGCGGGAAGAGCUCAAAUUUGAAAUCUUAAAGGGUUUCCCUUUACGAAUUGUAGUUUAAAGAAGUGUUUUCUGUUGAGGUUUUGGUAAAAGUUCUUUGGAAUAGGACAUCAUAGAGGGUGAGAAUCCCGUAUUUGACCUUUACUUUCAACUUUGUGAUACACUUUCAAAGAGUCGGAUUGUUUGGGAAUGCAGUCCAAAAUGGGUGGUAAAUUUCAUCUAAAGCUAAAUAUUGGCGAGAGACCGAUAGCGAACAAGUACCGUGAGGGAAAGAUGAAAAGAACUUUGAAAAGAGAGUUAAACAGUACGUGAAAUUGUCAAAAGGGAAGCGUUUGACACCAGUGUUGUUUUUCUGAAAAUCAAUUAAAGAACUGUUUAUGCUAAGCUGUUUAGACUUUAUCAGCUAACUGUUUAGUUUUGAGCUUUUCUUUAAUGCACUUUUCAGUUAACAAGUCAACAUCAAUUUCUUUUGCUGUAAAAAAGCUUGAGGAAGGUGGCUUGAGAUUCGUCUUAAGUGUUUAUAGCCUCUUGCCUAUGCAGUCGGAGAGAUUGAGGUCUGCAGCGUAGAUCCUUCGGGGCUAAAUGCAUUUGUGCUAAGUUAUAGCAUUUUAUAGACAACUUGUUGACUAUGAUUUGUCUUGUAGCUUACUCGCUUAUGUUAUUUUACCUACGCUUAGGAUGUUGAGUCAUCACACACUCU